CGGGUGGGUUAGCCGCAGCGAAAGCGAGUCUGAAUAGGGCGACCCACACGCGCAUACGCGCGUGUGAAUAGUGGCGUGUUCUGGACCCGAAGCGGAGUGAUCUACCCAUGGCCAGGGUGAAGCGCGGGUAAGACCGCGUGGAGGCCCGAACCCACUUAGGUUGAAGACUGAGGGGAUGAGCUGUGGGUAGGGGUGAAAGGCCAAUCAAACUCCGUGAUAGCUGGUUCUCCCCGAAAUGCAUUUAGGUGCAGCGUUGCGUGGUUCACCGCGGAGGUAGAGCUACUGGAUGGCCGAUGGGCCCUACUAGGUUACUGACGUCAGCCAAACUCCGAAUGCCGUGGUGUAAAGCGUGGCAGUGAGACGGCGGGGGAUAAGCUCCGUACGUCGAAAGGGAAACAGCCCAGAUCGCCGGCUAAGGCCCCCAAGCGUGUGCUAAGUGGGAAAGGAUGUGCAGUCGCAAAGACAACCAGGAGGUUGGCUUAGAAGCAGCCACCCUUGAAAGAGUGCGUAAUAGCUCACUGGUCAAGUGAUUGUGCGCCGAUAAUGUAGCGGGGCUCAAGCACACCGCCGAAGCCGCGGCACAUCCACCUUGUGGUGGGUGUGGGUAGGGGAGCGUCCCUCAUUCAGCGAAGCCACCGGGUGACCGGUGGUGGAGGGUGGGGGAGUGAGAAUGCAGGCAUGAGUAGCGACAAGGCAAGUGAGAACCUUGCCCGCCGAAAGACCAAGGGUUCCUGGGCCAGGCCAGUCCGCCCAGGGUGAGUCGGGACCUAAGGCGAGGCCGACAGGCGUAGUCGAUGGACAACGGGUUGAUAUUCCCGUACCCGUGUGUGGGCGCCCGUGACGAAUCAGCGGUACUAACCACCCAAAACCGGAUCGAUCACUCCCCUUCGGGGGUGUGGAGUUCUGGGGCUGCGUGGGAACUUCGCUGGUAGUAGUCAAGCGAAGGGGUGACGCAGGAAGGUAGCCGUACCAGUCAGUGGUAACACUGGGGCAAGCCGGUAGGGAGAGCGAUAGGCAAAUCCGUCGCUCACUAAUCCUGAGAGGUGACGCAUAGCCGGUUGAGGCGAAUUCGGUGAUCCUCUGCUGCCAAGAAAAGCCUCUAGCGAGCACACACACGGCCCGUACCCCAAACCGACACAGGUGGUCAGGUAGAGCAUACCAAGGCGUACGAGAUAACUAUGGUUAAGGAACUCGGCAAAAUGCCCCCGUAACUUCGGGAGAAGGGGGACCGGAAUAUCGUGAACACCCUUGCGGUGGGAGCGGGAUCCGGUCGCAGAAACCAGUGAGGAGCGACUGUUUACUAAAAACACAGGUCCGUGCGAAGUCGCAAGACGAUGUAUACGGACUGACGCCUGCCCGGUGCUGGAAGGUUAAGAGGACCCGUUAACCCGCAAGGGUGAAGCGGAGAAUUUAAGCCCCAGUAAACGGCGGUGGUAACUAUAACCAUCCUAAGGUAGCGAAAUUCCUUGUCGGGUAAGUUCCGACCUGCACGAAUGGCGUAACGACUUCUCAACUGUCUCAACCAUAGACUCGGCGAAAUUGCACUACGAGUAAAGAUGCUCGUUACGCGCGGCAGGACGAAAAGACCCCGGGACCUUCACUACAACUUGGUAUUGAUGUUCGGUACGGUUUGUGUAGGAUAGGUGGGAGACUGUGAAACCUCGACGCCAGUUGGGGCGGAGUCGUUGUUGAAAUACCACUCUGAUCGUAUUGGGCAUCUAACCUCGAACCCUGAAUCGGGUUUAGGGACAGUGCCUGGCGGGUAGUUUAACUGGGGCGGUUGCCUCCUAAAAUGUAACGGAGGCGCCCAAAGGUUCCCUCAACCUGGAC
RNAcentral lists this ribosomal RNA (1830 nucleotides) under Mycobacterium tuberculosis. RNAcentral's name for it is "bacterial LSU rRNA". It matches the Rfam family "Bacterial large subunit ribosomal RNA", at positions 654 to 2332 of the family's 2925-position model. Lineage: Bacteria; Bacillati; Actinomycetota; Actinomycetes; Mycobacteriales; Mycobacteriaceae. The record is from RNAcentral.